Molecule: long non-coding RNA, 2595 nt
Filed under: Ananas comosus (pineapple)
Lineage: Eukaryota; Viridiplantae; Streptophyta; Magnoliopsida; Poales; Bromeliaceae
Description: long non-coding RNA (ACOM_LNC034390)
Source: RNAcentral
AAAAGUGAACAAAUUAAAGGUAAAAUGGUAAUUUUAUAUUUUGAAAUAAAAUAAAAAAAUGUUAUGUUAACGGAAGUUGGUAAAAAUAACGGUGAGAUGAAAAAAAUAUUAUAUUUAGAGGGAUAUUUGUAAAAUUUAAAAAAUUAAAAGAAUAUUUAUGAUAUUACAUAAUUUUGUGAGGGUAUAAAUAAAAUUAACCCUAUUAUUAUUAUUAUUAUUAUUAUUAUUAUUAUUAGUAUUAUUUUUCUAGAUGAGGAUUCCACAUAGGAGGCAUAAAUGGGGGAGGGGGCCGGGGUUGAUUGGAUUUAAUGCAACGGGAAACGAACCUGCGUUUGUUUGCGUGGCUGGAAAGAGAAGACCGACCGACCGACCGAUCCAUGCGUACGUCUCUGACUUCCCAAUCCAAAGAGAUUGAGUCCGCUGCCUGCUGGACUACUGAUUUGAUGCAUGACGCCCAUGAUUCGCAUUUUUGACAGUCUGAACUUCCGUUCCUUACUUAUCUUGUCUUCCAAGGGCAGCUGUGACAUCCGCAGAAGCGCCGAAAGCCGGACGAGACAUAUCUAACGUUAAUAGAUAAAAUAAAAUUAAAAUUAAAAAGUCGACACACACACACACACACACGUACAAAUCAAGUUACUGGGUAAGAACAAAUUUAAAAGAGAUGCGUGCAUAUAUAGAUGACGACUAUAUAAGUAUGUGCCAAAAUAAAGUCGGUUCGGGUGAUGGAUUUUCGGCAGAAGAACUCUAUCACGGCAUUGUCAAAUAAAAGGAAUUAAGUUUUGAUAUUUCUGCUACGGUGAGGAAUAGGUUGGCCCAGAUUGCGUUAAUUUGAAGUUAUAAGAAAUUUGAUAUUCGAGUGGUUGUGCACUGAAGAGAUCAUAGAUUUAAUCUCUUACUCCUUUCGAAAACAUAGAUUUAACUUUUAUUUAUAUAACUAAAAUUAAUUAUUAUGCUAGGCAUCACAUGGAAUUAAAACUAGUAUUUUAUAUUUGUAGACUCUCUCUNUGUACCGUGCCCCCUUCUUGAGGGCACGGUACGGCACGCCCCGUGCCGUACGGCACGGAGUGACACUUAAAACCUUGGUUAGUACUCUGUGAUUUUGUUUUUGUAUCAAGUUAGUACCCUGUGGUUUAUUUUUAUAUCAAGUUAGUACUCUAUAAUUUUUAAACCACAAGGUACUAAAGUGAGAAAGUGUGAAACCAUACGGUACUAAAGUGAGAAAGUGCGAAACCAUAUGGUACUAACUUGAUACACUUUAAACCACAGGGUACUAAAAUAAAAAGUGCAAAACCACAUAGUACUAACUUGAUAAUACAUUAAACCACAUGCUAUUAAAGUAAGAAAAAGUAAAAUCACAUGCGAGUAUUCGAAGUUUUUCUAAUAAAAUAUUAUUCAAAAACGUCAUUUAAAAAAUAUUUUAUUGUAAUGGCCCGCAGUUUUGGAACUGAACUAAAUAUUUAACAAUGCAAGAUGACUUUACCUCCUGAGUUGCAAUCAAGUAUAAUAAUAUUCGUACGGCCGGGUUUUACUUGUUUUUUUUCCUGUUAUAUUAUGCGUCCCUUGGGCACAAAACACGAGGACAUCAUGUAUCGUCGUCGUUUUCGUUUCUUCAUGAUGAUGAUGAUAAUAAUAAUAAUAAUAAUAAUAAUCAUAAUAAUAACAAAGCUUCGAAAACCAUGCACUAUGGAAAGAGUCAAAAAAUUUAAAGAAAAAGAACCUCUCAAAGCGAUAACCUUUUGCCCCUUCGCUCUCCCCAAACGUUGCACACUCUCUCUCUCUCUCUCUCUCUCUCUCUCUCUCUCUCUCUCUCCUUUUAGUUAGUGUCGUGUGGCUUUUGUGUUCUUCCUCUUCUUGUGUGGAUGGGGAUGUUAUUAUUAUGGGAAAGUUCUAAUUUCAUGAAUGUCCUUCAAAAUUUUAAAAUUUUAUACUUGUCCUCUUGAAGUAUGAAAAAAUUUUAAAAAUAUUCUUACUGCUAGCAAUAUGUUAUAUUAGCUUCAAAAUACCAAUUUUAAUCUCUAUUUUAAUUUAAUCACCACUCUCACAAAUUUUUUUUUGAAUAUAUGGAGACCCCCUCAAUUACCAUCCAUUGUGAAAUAGCCUCCUAAAUUUAACUUUUUAAUUAAAGUCUUCUUAAAUUUUAUUUUCUUAAAUUGAAUGAUUUUUUUUAUUAAAUUAGAGAUUUUAUCUAAUCCAUUAAUGAUUCAAACAAAUUUAAUAAUUUUAAUAACUUCGUAGUAUAUAAAAUUAAAUAAGUUUCUGUUCAAAAAAGAAAUUAAUAAAAACUUCAAGGAUUUACUUAAAUGACAUAUAGUUGAUAGUUUUAGUAUAAAUAUCAAAAAAUAAGUGAAAACAGCUUGGUUUUUAAACAAAAAGUGAACAAAUUAAAGGUAAAAUGGUAAUUUUAUAUUUUGAAAUAAAAUAAAAAAAUGUUAUGUUAACGGAAGUUGGUAAAAAUAACGGUGAGAUGAAAAAAAUAUUAUAUUUAGAGGGAUAUUUGUAAAAUUUAAAAAAUUAAAAGAAUAUUUAUGAUAUUACAUAAUUUUGUGAGGGUAUAAAUAAAAUUAACCCUAUUAUUAUUAUUAUUAUUAUUAUUAU